Molecule: ribosomal RNA, 254 nt
Filed under: uncultured bacterium
Lineage: Bacteria
Description: partial 16S ribosomal RNA
Rfam family: Bacterial small subunit ribosomal RNA
Source: RNAcentral
UACGGGGGGGGCAAGCGUUGUUCGGAAUUACUGGGCGUAAAGAGCUCGUAGGUGGUUCGGUAAGUCGGAUGUGAAAUCUCCAGGCUCAACCUGGAGGGGUCAUUCGAUACUGCCGUGACUAGAGUUCGGUAGGGGAGUGUGGAAUUCCUGGUGGAGCGGUGAAAUGCGCAGAUAUCAGGAGGAACACCCGUAGCGAAGGCGGCACUCUGGGCCGAUACUGACACUGAGGAGCGAAAGCGUGGGGAGCGAACAGG